GCCUACCACAAUCCAUGAGUUCCAUAUUCCCUAAGACUGCCUCAAGAAAAUAGGGGGGCAGGGACAGCAAGAUGGCUCAGUGGGCAUGCCAUAACACAGGCCUCCAAUCGCCACAAAAGAUGCCUGAUAUUGGCCUGUGGCCUCCACAUGACCCCCAAAGAGAUUGAAACAACUACGCUGGAGGAUCUGUGAGAAUGUUUCAGAGAAGAUUAACCGAGGAAGAAAGACCUAACCUGAAUACGGAACCAUCCCACGGGCUAGGAUGGAGUAAGAGUGGAAAAAGAAAGUGAGCUGCAUUCAUCUCUCCCCAGUUUCUAUUCAGCUCCAUGUAAACCAGCUGCUACAUGAGCUGUGAGCAGCUCUGGCAGCCAUGCUUUCCCUGUCAUAGUAGAUCAUACUCUCUGAAAACUGUGAGCCAAAACAAACCCCCCUUCCCUAAGGUGUUCUGUCUGAUGCUCUGUUUCAGCACUAAAACAGUAACUACUACAAUUCUGUUACUGUAAUCAGCAAAAGAGCCGAAAUGUUUCCUUUUGAUUUUAUUACAACAUAUUUUCUUAGAAAGAACAAAAGAAUAAACCCAUUAAUAUGAUUAAUU
This is a long non-coding RNA of Mesocricetus auratus (golden hamster), 595 nucleotides long. RefSeq lists it as uncharacterized. The record is from RefSeq and is a predicted model, not a curated record. NCBI's taxonomy places the organism in Eukaryota, Metazoa, Chordata, Mammalia, Rodentia, Cricetidae. The transcript has 3 exons.